GACGAACGCUGGCGGCGUGCUUAACACAUGCAAGUCGAACGGAAAGGCCCUGCUUUUGUGGGGUGCUCGAGUGGCGAACGGGUGAGUAACACGUGAGUAACCUGCCCUUGACUUUGGGAUAACUUCAGGAAACUGGGGCUAAUACCGGAUAGGAGCUCCUGCUGCAUGGUGGGGGUUGGAAAGUUUCGGCGGUUGGGGAUGGACUCGCGGCUUAUCAGCUUGUUGGUGGGGUAGUGGCUUACCAAGGCUUUGACGGGUAGCCGGCCUGAGAGGGAGACCGGCCACAUUGGGACUGAGAUACGGCCCAGACUCCUACGGGAGGCAGCAGUGGGGAAUAUUGCACAAUGGGCGGAAGCCUGAUGCAGCAACGCCGCGUGCGGGAUGACGGCCUUCGGGUUGUAAACCGCUUUCGCCUGUGACGAAGCGUGAGUGACGGUAAUGGGUAAAGAAGCACCGGCUAACUACGUGCCAGCAGCCGCGGUGAUACGUAGGGUGCGAGCGUUGUCCGGAUUUAUUGGGCGUAAAGGGCUCGUAGGUGGUUGAUCGCGUCGGAAGUGUAAUCUUGGGGCUUAACCCUGAGCGUGCUUUCGAUACGGGUUGACUUGAGGAAGGUAGGGGAGAAUGGAAUUCCUGGUGGAGCGGUGGAAUGCGCAGAUAUCAGGAGGAACACCAGUGGCGAAGGCGGUUCUCUGGGCCUUUCCUGACGCUGAGGAGCGAAAGCGUGGGGAGCGAACAGGCUUAGAUACCCUGGUAGUCCACGCUGUAAACGGUGGGUACUAGGUGUGGGGUCCAUUCCACGGGUUCCGUGCCGUAGCUAACGCUUUAAGUACCCCGCCUGGGGAGUACGGCCGCAAGGCUAAAACUCAAAGGAAUUGACGGGGCCCCGCACAAGCGGCGGAGCAUGCGGAUUAAUUCGAUGCAACGCGUAGAACCUUACCUGGGUUUGACAUGGAUCGGGAGUGCUCAGAGAUGGGUGUGCCUCUUUUGGGGUCGGUUCACAGGUGGUGCAUGCCUGUCGUCAGCUCGUGUCGUGAGAUGUUGGGUUAAGUCCCGCAACGAGCGCAACCCUUGUUCACUGUUGCCAGCACGUUAUGGUGGGGACUCAGUGGAGACCGCCGGGGUCAACUCGGAGGAAGGUGGGGAUGACGUCAAGUCCUCAUGCCCCUUAUGUCCAGGGCUUCACGCAUGCUACAAUGGCUGGUACAGAGAGUGGCGAGCCUGUGAGGGUGAGCGAAUCUCGGAAAGCCGGUCUCAGUUCGGAUUGGGGUCUGCAACUCGACCUCAUGAAGUCGGAGUCGCUAGUAAUCGCAGAUCAGCAACGCUGCGGUGAAUACGUUCCCGGG
This 1343-nucleotide ribosomal RNA is filed under the name uncultured bacterium. RNAcentral's name for it is "16S ribosomal RNA". It matches the Rfam family "Bacterial small subunit ribosomal RNA", at positions 28 to 1378 of the family's 1533-position model. The record is from RNAcentral.